UACGGAGGGGGCUAGCGUUGUUCGGAAUUACUGGGCGUAAAGCGCACGUAGGCGGACUGUUAAGUCGGGGGUGAAAUCCUGGGGCUCAACCUCAGAAUUGCCUCCGAUACUGGCAGUCUCGAGUGCGGGAGAGGUGAGUGGAAUUCCCAGUGUAGAGGUGAAAUUCGUAGAUAUUCGGAGGAACACCAGUGGCGAAGGCGGCUCACUGGUCCGGUACUGACGCUGAGGUGCGAAAGCGUGGGGAGCAAACAGG
RNAcentral lists this ribosomal RNA (253 nucleotides) under uncultured bacterium. RNAcentral's name for it is "partial 16S ribosomal RNA". It matches the Rfam family "Bacterial small subunit ribosomal RNA", at positions 524 to 776 of the family's 1533-position model. The record is from RNAcentral.